GACGAACGCUGGCGGCGUGCUUAACACAUGCAAGUCGAGCGGAGCGGCGAACGGGUGAGUAACGCGUGAGUAACUGCCCCCCUCUCUGGGAUAACAGUUGGAAACGGCUGCUAAUACCGGAUAGUGGGGGAUGACUCGCGUCCUAUCGGCUUGUUGGUGGGGUAGUGGCCUACCACGGCGACGACGGGUAGCCGGCCUGGGGGGGCGACCGGCCACAUUGGGCUUGGAGACGUCCCAAGCUCCUACGGGAGGCAGCAGUGGGGAAUAGUGCAGAAUGGUGGAAACCCUGAUGCAGCAACGCCGCGUGCGGGAUGACGGCCUUCGGGUUGUAAACCGCUUUCAGCCAUGACGCGGUAGUGGCAGAAGAAGCACCGGCUAACUACGUGCCAGCCGCCGCGGUAAUUC
Molecule: ribosomal RNA, 405 nt
Filed under: uncultured bacterium
Lineage: Bacteria
Description: partial 16S ribosomal RNA
Rfam family: Bacterial small subunit ribosomal RNA
Source: RNAcentral